Molecule: long non-coding RNA, 1865 nt
Filed under: Panax ginseng (ginseng)
Lineage: Eukaryota; Viridiplantae; Streptophyta; Magnoliopsida; Apiales; Araliaceae
Description: long non-coding RNA (PGIN_LNC017022)
Source: RNAcentral
GAAAUAAUUUAGUAAAAAUACGAUGUUGGAGCAUCCAAUACUUUUUGCAAUUAGAUAUGAAAACAAAGAAAUUGAUGGGUUGCAUCGAACUAAAUAUUGAUAUUUGUGCAAUUAGAUGUAGAAAACAAAGAAAUAUACCUAAAUUUAGAGUUCUGGAACAUAAAGAUGUUAGAGAAUAACAACGCAGCGGAAACAAUAGUAAAGAGAAAAUCGAAAGAAAAUAAUCACACAAGAAACAAAAUUUACGUGGUUCACUCCACGGUCGGCGGUUGAUCAGUUCACUAUCUUGUGGAAAUUUCGUACAUCUUACGAUUGUUAGAUCCUCUCCAUAUAUAAAUAUAAGAAACCCGAAUUCAACCUGGAAGUACAAAACUACUUUGGGAGUUUGGAUAAGUAGAUCUUCAAAAUGAGGAUAUAGGAAAUGGAAUACCACACAUGAAGAAAUCUCUACCUUCUCUAUUAAACCUACUCAGCAAAAUCAUUAUAUCAUCCCAAUUCCAUCAGUCUUCUCGGUGGAUCCACUGAGUGACGACGCUGAUCUGUUUGCUUAUGCAUGGAACAUAUAAGGAUGACUACCUCACCUUGUCCUUUGCUAAAAUUGGUCUUCUAGUAUAGCUAUCUGAAGUAGGAAAAAAAUUGUUAUAAUUAAUAAGGCUUAAUUUAAAUACAUAUCAAUCUUUUUAAAUUUCUUUGUCAGUCAGUGUCUUUCGAAAGCAACUUUCGAAAGCUACAUUGGACCAUCCAGAGUAAGAAAAUAUAUACAUAUGUAUGCCUUAGUACUGUUUCUAAAAUCCUUUGACUUUUCUUUUCUUUUUCUUUUUGUUAAACAUCAAGAGAAUAUGAAUAUGCCCCAGUAUUACUAAAAUAAGAUGGAGUACUCAAUUCAUUAAAUUGUCAUAGUAUUUAUUUUACUGAUUAAUUAAUUUACUCUUUGAUUUCUUUGUAACAACUCUAGUUGUUUUAUUUGUACUUCAGUUUGCUGUGUUCUUUGCCACGAAUAACUUCCUUUUCACCAAGUUCAACUUUUUAUUUCUUAUACUAUUCCUGUCGAUACUUGUGUAUAAUUAGAAAAUUCUAUAAUCCAUCAUUCAGAAAGCACUAGGAUGUAGCUCUUUGACAACCGAGUUAUCCUGAUCGAUUGUAGGCCUAGUCGGAAAGGAAAAACUAUGGCACUAUAGCUACACUCUUCUCGUAUACUUUCAAGUUUUACACAUUAGAUAUCCUUUUUUAAUUCAUACUAAUCAAAUAAAUAAAAAAAGAAAAUAAAAGAUGUUUGCUUGAUUCAUUCUAGUAGAAUAACAAAUCUUCAAAAAUUGUAGAAGUUAUCAAUAUUUCACUUGUGUGUAAUAUAUAUCUCUGGGAGCAAAUUAAACAAAUACAUGGAAAGAACAUUAAUAUCACACAUUCACACCUUUAAACUGCAAAAUUUUGUAUAUUUGAAGACAUAUCAUAUUUUUGAAGAAGCUAAUCAAUUGUGAAGUGGGUCUGGUCCACCUGGAACAGUCCGGUCUGACAUACCAUAAAUUGGUUCGACGCCAUCAUUUUUGGCUUCAAUGGGAACUGCUGCAGGAAAAUGCAUUGAGAACGGGGAACGGAAUUCUGGUUCUGGUUUAAAUUCCAUCUCUGUUCCUUCAAUUGUAACUCUCUUCAUAUCGCGGCAAUUUGAGAGCUGAGUGAAGGUGAGCAUGACCAUGAUGAACAGAAAUGGGACCCCGGGAUUUUGAGUACCCAUGAUUCUUAUGAUGAGAAAUAGCUGAAGAACUAGUGCCCAAUAGAUGAAGCAGGUAAAAUGGAGCUUGUUCUCUAAUGCAGGCUGUGAAGUCUUUUAUAUGCCUUUGGGUAACCUGUGGACUAUAUAAAAGCCA